GCCUAGCUGGCUCAGUCAGUAGAGCAUGUAAUUCCUGAUCUCAGGGUUGUGAGUUCAAGCCCCACAUUGGGCG
RNAcentral lists this transfer RNA (73 nucleotides) under Ursus americanus (American black bear). It matches the Rfam family "tRNA". Rfam says of the family: Transfer RNA (tRNA) molecules are approximately 80 nucleotides in length. Their secondary structure includes four short double-helical elements and three loops (D, anti-codon, and T loops). RNAcentral also lists the same sequence under 2 other names. The record is from Rfam by way of RNAcentral. Lineage: Eukaryota; Metazoa; Chordata; Mammalia; Carnivora; Ursidae.